This 135-nucleotide ribosomal RNA is filed under the name uncultured bacterium. Its description in RNAcentral is "partial 16S ribosomal RNA". The record is from RNAcentral.
CACGUAGUUGGCCGCACCUUCUUCUGCAGGUACCGUCAUUUUCGUUCCUGCUGAAAGCGGUUUACAACCCGAGGGCCUUCUUCCCGCACGCGGCGUUGCUGCCUCAGGCUUGCGCCCAUUGGGCAAGAUUCCCCA